AUUGAACGCUGGCGGCAUGCCUUACACAUGCAAGUCGAACGGCAGCACGGGUGCUUGCACCUGGUGGCGAGUGGCGAACGGGUGAGUAAUACAUCGGAACAUGUCCUGUAGUGGGGGAUAGCCCGGCGAAAGCCGGAUUAAUACCGCAUACGAUCUACGGAUGAAAGCGGGGGACCUUCGGGCCUCGCGCUAUAGGGUUGGCCGAUGGCUGAUUAGCUAGUUGGUGGGGUAAAGGCCUACCAAGGCGACGAUCAGUAGCUGGUCUGAGAGGACGACCAGCCACACUGGGACUGAGACACGGCCCAGACUCCUACGGGAGGCAGCAGUGGGGAAUUUUGGACAAUGGGCGAAAGCCUGAUCCAGCAAUGCCGCGUGUGUGAAGAAGGCCUUCGGGUUGUAAAGCACUUUUGUCCGGAAAGAAAUCCUUGGCCCUAAUACGGUCGGGGGAUGACGGUACCGGAAGAAUAAGCACCGGCUACUACGUG
This 485-nucleotide ribosomal RNA is filed under the name uncultured bacterium. RNAcentral describes it as "partial 16S ribosomal RNA". It matches the Rfam family "Bacterial small subunit ribosomal RNA", at positions 30 to 507 of the family's 1533-position model. The record is from RNAcentral.